GGUGUGAUUUUUCCGACCCUAUCUCGUCUACUCCUGGAGCUAUAAACGGGGCCUCGAGGAGUUUCCCUGGCGGGAAGGUGACCUGCUCUUGUCCCUUUCAUUUUCUCUGAAGUGGACCCUGCGUCCAGACGCAUCUCUAUUCCUGCGCCGCUCACCAGACGAGUCUCUGUCCCUCGACUUGGGCCAAGUAUUGCCCGGUUGAGAAUAUCCGGAUGAGCGGUCUCCUGAAUUUCCGCGGUUUCGACUCUCUCCUCGCUCAUGGCUUUUGUCAUCCCAACGUCGUUCAGAUGAGGAGUUUCGUCCUGAUUAAGAGUAUCUUUGGCCACCGCCAUCUCUAUCAGGUGAAUGUCUCCAACCCCCUUGGGCUUGAUACCUUGUGUAAUUUUUAUUUCCAGACUCCUCAUGCUUGGACCAGCGAUUUUCGCCGUAUCUGUCCGUUCUUUCCCUGUCACCUUCAUAUCUGUGAGAACUCCAAGUAUCAGAAUAAUUGUCUCUCCCUCGACUGUAACUUCUGAACCUCUCUCUAGAGUCUCCUCGCUCACGUGACCGAGAGCGGUUACGACGUCGGCUUCGACGCCGUGCUUCAGGAUCGACCUAAUAGAUCUAAUAUACUUGGACAGUCCUAAAACUCUUUUUAAAUAUCUUGUUUUGACUUUUUCAAGAUUUUCAAAAUCAGUCUUUGUUAGGAAAGGCCAUAUUUCUUCAAUGCCGUAGGACGCAAUUGGGGAAAUUUUUAGAUCAAAUAGCUUGUGUGCUGUUUCAAUGGAUAAUUGUUUUAGUUCUCGUAUAUUAUAAGUGGCCAGCAAUGCAGCUCUUGUUCUUUUUUCAAUGUGCUUUCCAAAAGAGAUUCCUGAUGGUUGAAAAGUAACUCCUAAAUAUGUAAACUCAGCAACUCUCUCUAUUUCAAUUCCACCUAAAUCUAGGCGGUCACUUAAUGCAUAUUUUCCUAGACCCUUAUUUCUAAAUUUCAUGAAUUUGCACUUUUCCAAGUUAAGUUUCAAACUGCGUUUUAACAAAAAUUCUUUCAUUCUGGCUAAAGCAAUUUUCAAGUCACUUAAUUUUUCUGAGGUUAAAACAAUAUCAUCUGCAUAAUAAAUGGCUUUCACGUUUGGCAAAUCUCGUAGAAUAUUAUUUAUAUCAGCUAAAGAGUAAUUGAACAGAAAUGGGGACGUGCAUCCCCCCUGUCUUACCCCAUUUGAUUGUGUAAUAAGUUUUGAUACUGUUACUCCAUCUACUAUUCUCAAGAAAUUUAAGUCUAAGUUGUGAGCUAAAUAAUUUAACUCCGUGAACGUUAGCUUCUUGCUUUCUAUUAACUUCUUAAAAAUAAACGCCCUAUCUAUUGAGUCAAAAGCUUUACUUACAUCCAAAAAUAAGGCAUAUUUAUGUACAUACACAAAAUUUAUGCAUAUUUAUGAUUCAAUAAUAAUUAUUCUUUCUGUGAAACAAAAACAAUUAAGACUUGAUCGAGUUAUGAGGAUUCAAUUAUUUCAAGAUUCUCACGUCAGAACAAGGAUGCAUGUUGAAAACCUGUGGCAUUUCAUCCUCAAAUCUUGGAUUUUACGCAGCCACCAACAAUAAGUUUCAUCCAAGCGGUCGCGAUCAGAUCAUCUGACCUGGUGACCCUUCUCUCUCCCUCUUUUGUGGUUACAUAGCAGAUCACAGAUCUCUUAUUCAAUAAUGUCGCUUUUUGUUUUAUGACACUGGUUUUGACACUUGACACGACUGUUUUGUUGUUGGUUUUGUUGUUUUGUUCGUUUUGUUUACAUUUUUCGACCCCACACGGCGCAAGCUCAAAUUGUACGGAGUGUAUAAGAAGGAGUAGAAAAUAUCACGGUACCACGGCGCAUUAAAAAUAUUCAUAAAACUUAAAGAAAGCUUUCAUAUUUAUUAUCUUUGAGUUUUUUAAUAUAUCAUAUGAAAAAAAUAAAAGUGUAUGUUAUUUUGUUUGUUUCAAAUAGUCAUUUAAAGUCUCCUUGCCAAACGCCAAACCCCCUUAAAAAAAGUAGCCCCACCCAACAAGGCCCCACCCCUCACCACCUGAUUUCCGCAUGGAAAGAAAACAACAAUAACAAUAAAUACACAGAGAGGAAAAAUAUCUUACAGCAAAUUUUUAUAAAAAAAAAACUCGCUUCCCUUGCUUCGAAACAAAAACUUAGAGAGAAUGCCACUGCUGCUGUUGACGGGGCUGCCCUGUUCAGGCAAGAGUUCCAGAGCAAAGCAGUUAAAGGAAAAAUUUAUCGAAUUACAUCCAAACCGUGAAGUCGUAAUAAUUAGUGAAAAUUGAUUCACCAAAUUAAUUAUUUAUUGCUGUUCCUUCGCUUGAGCAUUUUAUUUAUUACCAUCAGAGCCAGAGCGUGGACAUAAGCAAAUGAAAAAGAAAGAUGGCUGCAUCCAGUUCGGGCGAGGGGAAAGAAUGACCCCUCCGACUGAUAUGCCGGCCAAAGGCAUGGGUGCCAAGGCCGAUUAUAUUGUUUUGGAAAAUCGGCAAAAACGUGUCUUAAAUGAAUUAAUAUGAAAUUUUUGCACCUACCGAGGUCUAGUCCAUGAACUGGGCAAGGUAUCCGAGUGGCCGGCAUGCCGAUCAAACCCCUAAAUAGGCUCCAACGGGCGAGAUACGGCGGCCGAGCACUCGAAAAAUCAGCGAGAGCUGUCCGUCGCCGUGUGUGCUGCUGUUUCGUGUGCCUCCUCCUCUCGCCAGUCUCGCCGUCACCCAGCCGCUGCAAGUGCAAUUGAUAUCUCGCGAUUCAAGCAGGGAACUUUUUUGAAUAAUAAUUUUGUU
Long non-coding RNA from Neocloeon triangulifer, 2779 nucleotides. RefSeq lists it as uncharacterized. The transcript has 3 exons. The record is from RefSeq and is a predicted model, not a curated record. NCBI's taxonomy places the organism in Eukaryota, Metazoa, Arthropoda, Insecta, Ephemeroptera, Baetidae.